This 55-nucleotide transfer RNA is filed under the name Marshallagia marshalli. Its description in RNAcentral is "tRNA-Glu". The record is from RNAcentral. Lineage: Eukaryota; Metazoa; Nematoda; Chromadorea; Rhabditida; Trichostrongylidae.
GAGGUAUUAGUAUAAUUAGUAUAAUUUAUUUUCAAUAAAUGGGUUUAUUAUCUUG